RNAcentral lists this ribosomal RNA (253 nucleotides) under uncultured bacterium. RNAcentral's name for it is "partial 16S ribosomal RNA". It matches the Rfam family "Bacterial small subunit ribosomal RNA", at positions 524 to 776 of the family's 1533-position model. The record is from RNAcentral.
UACAGAGGGGGCAAGCGUUGUUCGGAAUUACUGGGCGUAAAGGGCGCGUAGGCGGCCUGUUAAGUCGAACGUGAAAUCCCCGGGCUCAACCCGGGAACUGCGUCCGAUACUGGCAGGCUUGAAUCCGGGAGAGGGAUGCGGAAUUCCAGGUGUAGCGGUGGAAUGCGUAGAUAUCUGGAGGAACACCGGUGGCGAAGGCGGCAUCCUGGACCGGCAUUGACGCUGAGGCGCGAAAGCCAGGGGAGCAAACGGG